AAAGGAGUGGCGUAACUGCUCGCUCUCCUUCUCUGCAUUCACUCACCUAUUCUCUUUGGGAAAAUAAGGAGGAUCCUGAUGCUGCCUCCAUACCUUGAGUACAGGAGUGGACGACAGAUAUAAGAGUGGGACGCUUUUGAUGCAGGGUGUGCAGUCAUCAUUUGGAGUUUUUGAGGGGAAAGCAGGCCAGAUGUUUUUCACCCAUGACCAAGUAGCUGUGGAGAUGAAGCGGUAUUACACAGCGGGAAAGCUAAUUGCUUGGUCUCUCAUGCAUGUUGGACCAGGUAUCAAAGCACUAGAUACCACAUUAUUCAAACUAAUGUGUGACCAACCAGAUUCUGCAGAAGAAUUUGACUGGCAUAACCUGCCAGAUGUCGAAAUUCAAGAUACAGUGCGACAGACCCAACAAGACAUAGAUGGAAGAGUAACAAGCCUUGGGGACUGGAUUGUUGACGGUGGAGUCCCAGGCAUUUACAGUGCAACACCCAAGGAUAUGAGACGAACCUACGGGCAGCUGAUCAAACACUACAUUCA
Long non-coding RNA from Sinocyclocheilus rhinocerous, 534 nucleotides. RefSeq lists it as uncharacterized. Lineage: Eukaryota; Metazoa; Chordata; Actinopteri; Cypriniformes; Cyprinidae. The record is from RefSeq and is a predicted model, not a curated record. The transcript is spliced from 3 exons.